This 516-nucleotide ribosomal RNA is filed under the name uncultured bacterium. RNAcentral describes it as "bacterial LSU rRNA". It matches the Rfam family "Bacterial large subunit ribosomal RNA", at positions 230 to 752 of the family's 2925-position model. The record is from RNAcentral.
AGCGAUUCCCCUAGUAGUGGCGAGCGAACGGGGACCAGCCUAAAACCGCGCAAGCGGGGUCGUGGGGCCUUCCGUAUGGGAGUCAUAAAGGCAUUGCGUAACAGAAGGCCAUGGAAUGGGCCGCCAAAGACGGUGACAGCCCGGUAUGUGAAACGCGAUGCUCUCCCGGAGGGUACCCGAGUACCACAGGACACGUGAAAUCCGGUGGGAAUCUGGGAGGACCAUCUCCUAAGGCUAAAGACUACUCGUUGACCGAUAGUGAACUAGUACCGUGAGGGAAAGGUGAAAAGCACCCCGGUUAGGGGAGUGAAAUAGUACCUGAAACCGUGCGCCUACAAGCAGCGGGAGCACAUUAACGUGUGACCGCGUACCUUUUGCAUCAUGGGCCUGCGAGUUACGUUAUGUGGCAAGGUUAAGCCGAAAGGUGGAGCCGUAGCGAAGCGAGUCUUAACAGGGCGAGCAGUCGCAUGACGUAGACCCGAACCCGAGCGAUCUAUCCAUGUCCAGGCUGAAGGG